CCUACGUGAGGCUGCAGUGAGGAAUAUUGGUCAAUGGUCGGGAGACUGAACCAGCCAAGCCGCGUGAGGGAUGAAGGUACAGAGUAUCGUAAACCUCUUUUGUCAGGGAACAAAGGCGGGGAUGUGUCCCCGGAUGAGUGUACCUGAAGCAAAAGCAUCGGCUAACUCCGUGCCAGCAGCCGCGGUAAUACGGAGGAUGCGAGCGUGAUCCGGAUUUAUUGGGUUAAAAGGGUGCGCAGGAGGUCUUUUAAGUCAGCGGUCAAAGCCCGGGGCUCACCCCGGGCCCGCCGUUGAAACUGGCAGUCUCGAGUUGGAGAGAAGUAUGCGGAAUGCGCGGUGUAGCGGUGAAAGGCAUAGAUAUCGCGCAGAACUCCGAUUGCGAAGGCAGCAUGCCGGCUCCACACUGACGCUGAGGCACGAAAGCGUGGGUAUCGAACAGGAUUAGAUACCCGAGUAGUC
RNAcentral lists this ribosomal RNA (459 nucleotides) under uncultured bacterium. Its description in RNAcentral is "partial 16S ribosomal RNA". It matches the Rfam family "Bacterial small subunit ribosomal RNA", at positions 338 to 795 of the family's 1533-position model. The record is from RNAcentral.